This 374-nucleotide ribosomal RNA is filed under the name uncultured bacterium. Its description in RNAcentral is "bacterial SSU rRNA". It matches the Rfam family "Bacterial small subunit ribosomal RNA", at positions 917 to 1291 of the family's 1533-position model. The record is from RNAcentral.
GGGCCCGCACAAGCGGUGGAGUAUGUGGUUUAAUUCGAUGCAACGCGAAGAACCUUACCUUCCCUUGACAUCCCGGGACAACCUCAGAGAUGAGGCUUUCUCUUCGGAGACUCGGUGACAGAUGCUGCAUGGCUGUCGUCAGCUCGUGUUGUGAAAUGUUCGGUUAAGUCCGGCAACGAGCGCAACCCCCUGUCCUUAGUUACCAUCAUUAAGUUGGGGACUCUAGGGAGACUGCCGGUGUUAAACCGGAGGAAGGCGGGAUGACGUCAAGUCCUCAUGGGCUCUUACGGGAAGGGCUACACACGUACUACAAUGGCAUAUACAGAGGGCUGCCAACUCGCGAGAGUGAGCGAAUCCCAUAAAGUAUGUCGUAG